Long non-coding RNA from Corapipo altera (White-ruffed manakin), 391 nucleotides. RefSeq lists it as uncharacterized. The transcript is spliced from 3 exons. Lineage: Eukaryota; Metazoa; Chordata; Aves; Passeriformes; Pipridae. The record is from RefSeq and is a predicted model, not a curated record.
UUUUGCUUCAGGACCAGCCUAUGGCAAUGUGCUCCAUGUGACCAGGGCUAAUGUAGCUUUGAAGGGCAUAUAAAGAAAUCAUGUGAAGGUGCCUUGGGAAUGUUCCUGUCGUCACUGUCCAGUACCUGAUGCAAAUUGUUUUCUUCAUUUUGUUAUUUAAACUGCUGGCAGGUCUGGCACAACCUGCACCCCGGUUGCUGCAUCUGCCCACACCGGCAUGGUCGGCUGCAGGGCUGAUGGACAGGUUUGCUCUGGAGGAGUCAGUGCUGCCAGGCCUUCCUGCAUCCCUGCAACACCCUCUCUACCUUCCUGUGCUCUUCGACUGCUGCUCAUCCUGCUGCAAAUAGUGCAGUCACAGCCAGCUGUUAGGAUCUGAUUAUUAAAAGAUACC